RNAcentral lists this ribosomal RNA (251 nucleotides) under uncultured bacterium. RNAcentral's name for it is "partial 16S ribosomal RNA". It matches the Rfam family "Bacterial small subunit ribosomal RNA", at positions 1243 to 1500 of the family's 1533-position model. The record is from RNAcentral.
AAGGCAGCUACACGGUGACGUGAUGCUAAUCCCGAAAGACCUCUCUCAGUUCGGAUUGGAGUCUGCAACCCGACUCCAUGAAGCUGGAUUCGCUAGUAAUCGCGCAUCAGCCACGGCGCGGUGAAUACGUUCCCGGGCCUUGUACACACCGCCCGUCAAGCCAUGAAAGCCGGGGGGUACCUGAAGUGCGUAACCGCAAGGAGCGCCCUAGGGUAAAACUGGUGAUUGGGGCUAAGUCGUAACAAGGUAAC